Molecule: ribosomal RNA, 258 nt
Filed under: uncultured bacterium
Lineage: Bacteria
Description: partial small subunit ribosomal RNA
Rfam family: Bacterial small subunit ribosomal RNA
Source: RNAcentral
AGAAUCAACGCUGGCGGCGUGCCUAACACAUGCAAGUCGAACGAGAAAGUGGAGCAAUCCAUGAGUAAAGUGGCGACCGGAUGAGUAACACGUGACUAACCUACCUUCGAGUGGGGAUAACCUCGGGAAACCGGGCUAAUACCGCAUAAAAUCUUUGGAUCGGAAGAACUGGAGAUCAAUGGAGCAAUUCGCUUGAAGAGGGGGUCGCGGCUGAUUAGCUAGUUGGCGGGUAAUGGCCCACCAAGGCUUUGAUCGGUA